This 93-nucleotide small RNA is filed under the name Arabidopsis thaliana (thale cress). RNAcentral describes it as "ATSL115850". Lineage: Eukaryota; Viridiplantae; Streptophyta; Magnoliopsida; Brassicales; Brassicaceae. The record is from RNAcentral.
AUUUAAUUUAAUUAGAAAAACGAAAUACAUUAUUAAUUUCCGAAAAAGUAACCAAUUAAAACCAACAAAUUAGAUUUGAUAUCUAAAUUAUCU